Molecule: unclassified non-coding RNA, 440 nt
Filed under: Hevea brasiliensis (rubber tree)
Lineage: Eukaryota; Viridiplantae; Streptophyta; Magnoliopsida; Malpighiales; Euphorbiaceae
Source: RNAcentral
GAGAAUAUGAGAGAUAUAGCAGCUUUGGAAGAGAGGAUACGUAGACAAAGAAAAGAGAAGCAAAAUAGCAUUGCCUGCAGAGGAAUAAUUACAGUAACCAUUACAUAACGGUAAAUAAAGGCUGUUAGGACCGUUACACUUGCAACUCCAAAUUUGCCCGUAAAUAACAGUGUAUUGCGCAACAACCGUUCUAAAACCCCUAUAUUUGAAACCAUGCUCUCUCUCUCUCUCAUUCAUCAAUAACGUCUAUUGAAAAUUUCAUAUCUACAACUAUUUUUAUAAUGUCUACUUCUCUAAGUGUGUACCAUAUGCAUAGCAGACUUGGUGUAUCAUUUCAUUAUAAAAUUAAGAGAAAAUGCAUGGCAUCAACAAAUCAAAGUUGCAGAUUGCAGAAUUGAGUGAUUAGAAAAACACAAACCUGCUUUUGACUUUUGAAAUCA